This 350-nucleotide unclassified non-coding RNA is filed under the name soil metagenome. RNAcentral describes it as "partial contains 5.8S ribosomal RNA, internal transcribed spacer 2, and large subunit ribosomal RNA". The stretch from base 1 to 120 matches the Rfam family "5.8S ribosomal RNA", at positions 35 to 154 of the family's 154-position model. The record is from RNAcentral.
GAUGAAGAACGCAGCGAAAUGCGAUAAGUAAUGUGAAUUGCAGAAUUCAGUGAAUCAUCGAAUCUUUGAACGCAACUUGCGCUCUCUGGUAUUCCGGAGAGCAUGCCUGUUUGAGUGUCAUGAAAUCUCAACCAUUAGGGUUUCUUAAUGGCUUGGAUUUGGAGGCUGCCAUUCUAAAUGGCUCCUCUUAAAGGAGUUAGCAAGUUUUACUAUUGCUAUCUGGCGUAAUAAGUUUCGCUGGAAUGGUAUUGUGAAGCGUGCUUCUAAUCGUCUUCGGACAAUUACUUUGACUCUGGCCUCAAAUCAGGUAGGACUACCCGCUGAACUUAAGCAUAUCAAUAAGCGGAGGA